CAGAGUUGCAAAACUCCCACAAACCAUCGCGAAUCUUACCCGUACGGUCGCCUCGGCGCUGGCGGUCCGGAAGGCCCUCGGGCCCCCCGGAUCCUCGGGUCUCCCGCUCGCGGGAGGCUGCCCGCCGGAGUGCCGAAACCAAACUCUUGAUAUUUUAUGUCUCUCUGAGUAAACUUUUAAAUAAGUCA
This 188-nucleotide unclassified non-coding RNA is filed under the name soil metagenome. RNAcentral describes it as "partial internal transcribed spacer 1". The record is from RNAcentral.